ACAAGUCUACUUCAUGUGGUUCCAUAAGUGAGAAAGAUAUAGAGAUAGAGAAGAGAUCGAGCUUGUUGAGAGAGUUAUUCUUGUUGUUUUUUUUUCUGUUCUCUUGUUCUUCUUUUAUUCUUCUUUCUUUAUUCUUAUGGCUUGAAUUAGUGUUUGGUUUAAUUAACUAUGGUGAAGGAUGUGGUAGAUGUUCCCGGAGAAGGAUUUGGGACAAGAGACUAUUAAGAUCCUCGUCCACUGCAAAGGAGAUAUCUCUGGUCUCUAAGUUACUUCCCAUUUAUAAGACCUAUUGGACUUUAUUUCCUUUCACAGAUCUCAUUGAAAGUGUACGUAUGGAAGAGCCAUUUGUGGAUCGUUGGAGUUUACAUAUGUUGCGUCCAUCUCGGUUAAAUGAAGCUAAAUGGUUUAAAUACCAUACCCAAGUAUCAACUAGUGUCUAAAAGGUCAUUCAAAGUUAUUUUAAGGGACCAUGGUACUCUUGGGGAAAAGUGCCUCCCUUCUACAAAAGAACCUGGUUUAUACUGUUUAUGAAAAAGUUUAACUGGGAUGCUUCUAUAACCUAUCAAGUUGAAAGAGAGUUUAAUAAGCUUGUUGCUCGCCUCAAAGGAAUGAUAAGCCAUGCAAAGAAUGGACGAGAAAAACCAGAGUGGAUUUUGUCUAACUAUUGGACAAUUAUGCAAAAACAUUGGGCAACACCAAAAGCGAAGGCAACUAGUGAGAAGGCUCGUGCUUCUCGAAUGUUUGAUCGCAAUGGUUUAGGCCCACUCUCAUCUAGCAGAUUCAUGUUCGUAUGUCAAAGUUCAAGCUGUUUUGGAAGCAAACAAAAGUCUGACGGAACCUAUGUUGAUCAACGAGCAUGAUUGAUCGCAGAAACUUAUGAAAAGCAUUUACAAGAACGUUUGGAACAACUUGAAUCUUCUGGUGAAGAGAAUGUGACAGCUGAAAAUCUUUACAAAGAUGAGAAAAAUGAGAUUUAUAUCAAGCUUAUCAGGUUUUACCAUCUGUUGGUGCCUCUUCAAGUGUACCACAAUCUGGUGAAGAAGUAGAGACGAUAACACAUCGAAUGCAGGAGAUGGAAACUGAUAAAAACAAAACCUUGAAGAAAAUCAGCAAAUCCAGAAAAGACAUGAAGGUAUGGAGAAACUUGUUGAAUCUUUUGCAUGUCAAAAUAUUAAAUCCAAGGUCACUACCAAGACCAUCCACCUUUAUCUAACUACUAUGGUUUGAUUGUAUUUCCUUUCAGUUGUGUUUAUGGAUUAAUUUUGUGUUUAGUUUGUAUUUCCUUUUAGUUGUAUUUAUGUAUUAACUUUGUAUUUGGAUGUUAGUUUGUUAUGUAUAUAUUAUCGU
Molecule: long non-coding RNA, 1347 nt
Organism: Camelina sativa (false flax)
Lineage: Eukaryota; Viridiplantae; Streptophyta; Magnoliopsida; Brassicales; Brassicaceae
Source: RefSeq, a predicted model, not a curated record